RNAcentral lists this ribosomal RNA (500 nucleotides) under Salmonella enterica. RNAcentral's name for it is "bacterial SSU rRNA". It matches the Rfam family "Bacterial small subunit ribosomal RNA", at positions 229 to 721 of the family's 1533-position model. The record is from RNAcentral. Lineage: Bacteria; Pseudomonadati; Pseudomonadota; Gammaproteobacteria; Enterobacterales; Enterobacteriaceae.
GCCCAGAUGGGAUUAGCUUGUUGGUGAGGUAACGGCUCACCAAGGCGACGAUCCCUAGCUGGUCUGAGAGGAUGACCAGCCACACUGGAACUGAGACACGGUCCAGACUCCUACGGGAGGCAGCAGUGGGGAAUAUUGCACAAUGGGCGCAAGCCUGAUGCAGCCAUGCCGCGUGUAUGAAGAAGGCCUUCGGGUUGUAAAGUACUUUCAGCGGGGAGGAAGGUGUUGUGGUUAAUAACCGCAGCAAUUGACGUUACCCGCAGAAGAAGCACCGGCUAACUCCGUGCCAGCAGCCGCGGUAAUACGGAGGGUGCAAGCGUUAAUCGGAAUUACUGGGCGUAAAGCGCACGCAGGCGGUCUGUCAAGUCGGAUGUGAAAUCCCCGGGCUCAACCUGGGAACUGCAUUCGAAACUGGCAGGCUUGAGUCUUGUAGAGGGGGGUAGAAUUCCAGGUGUAGCGGUGAAAUGCGUAGAGAUCUGGAGGAAUACCGGUGGCGAAGG